GCCGGAAUAACUCAUUUAGGUGAGCAGCCACAGAGUAUGUGAAAGGCUGUUGGUUCGAUCCCAACUUCCGGCUUA
This 75-nucleotide transfer RNA is filed under the name Caudoviricetes sp. RNAcentral's name for it is "tRNA-OTHER". Lineage: Duplodnaviria; Heunggongvirae; Uroviricota; Caudoviricetes. The record is from RNAcentral.